This 253-nucleotide ribosomal RNA is filed under the name uncultured bacterium. Its description in RNAcentral is "partial 16S ribosomal RNA". It matches the Rfam family "Bacterial small subunit ribosomal RNA", at positions 524 to 776 of the family's 1533-position model. The record is from RNAcentral. RNAcentral also lists the same sequence under 1 other name.
UACGGAGGGGGCUAGCGUUAUUCGGAAUUACUGGGCGUAAAGCGCACGUAGGCGGAUUGGAAAGUUGGAGGUGAAAUCCCAGGGCUCAACCUUGGAACUGCCUUCAAAACUCCCAGUCUUGAGGUCGAGAGAGGUGAGUGGAAUUCCGAGUGUAGAGGUGAAAUUCGUAGAUAUUCGGAGGAACACCAGUGGCGAAGGCGGCUCACUGGCUCGAUACUGACGCUGAGGUGCGAAAGCGUGGGGAGCAAACAGG